UACGGAGGGAUCUAGCGUUGUUCGGAAUUACUGGGCGUAAAGAGCGCGUAGGCGGCUAAUUAAGUUGGAAGUGAAAUCCCAGGGCUUAACCUUGGAACUGCUUUCAAAACUGAUUGGCUAGAGUACGAUAGAGGAUGGUGGAAUUCCUAGUGUAGAGGUGAAAUUCUUAGAUAUUAGGAGGAACAUCAGAGGCGAAGGCGACCAUCUGGGUCGUUACUGACGCUGAGGCGCGAAAGCGUGGGGAGCAAAC
Molecule: ribosomal RNA, 250 nt
Filed under: uncultured bacterium
Lineage: Bacteria
Description: partial 16S ribosomal RNA
Rfam family: Bacterial small subunit ribosomal RNA
Source: RNAcentral